RNAcentral lists this ribosomal RNA (445 nucleotides) under uncultured bacterium. Its description in RNAcentral is "SSU rRNA". It matches the Rfam family "Bacterial small subunit ribosomal RNA", at positions 26 to 518 of the family's 1533-position model. The record is from RNAcentral.
AGAGCGAACGCUGGCGGCAGGCCUAAUACAUGCAAGUCGAACGGAUCCUUCGGGAUUAGUGGCGGACGGGUGAGUAACACGUGGGAACGUGCCCUUUGGUUCGGAACAACUCAGGGAAACUUGAGCUAAUACCGGAUGUGCCCUUCGGGGGAAAGAUUUAUCGCCAUUGGAGCGGCCCGCGUCUGAUUAGCUAGUUGGUGGGGUAAAGGCCUACCAAGGCUACGAUCAGUAGCUGGUCUGAGAGGAUGAUCAGCCACACUGGGACUGAGACACGGCCCAGACUCCUACGGGAGGCAGCAGUAGGGAAUCUUGCGCAAUGGGCGAAAGCCUGACGCAGCCAUGCCGCGUGAAUGAUGAAGGUCUUAGGAUUGUAAAAUUCUUUCAGCGGGGACGAUAAUGACGGUACCGCAGAAGAACGCCCGGCUAACUUCGUGCCAGCAGCCGC